This is a long non-coding RNA of Carassius carassius (crucian carp), 851 nucleotides long. RefSeq lists it as uncharacterized. The record is from RefSeq and is a predicted model, not a curated record. The transcript is spliced from 3 exons. Lineage: Eukaryota; Metazoa; Chordata; Actinopteri; Cypriniformes; Cyprinidae.
UAAAUAUAACCAAAGUUUCUGGAUUAUAUUUUCUUAGCUAAAGAUUUUUAGUUUUCAUGUUUGAUUAUAGAAAGUGCUGACGUGAAACUGUGGAGAUCGCACGAGAGGUGAAAUCCCAAACCACAGCCGAUCUCCGCAGAUUUACAAGCUGGGAAAGUUUAGUUAGGCUAAUUACUUAUGUUUGCAUAAUACUUUAAAAGAGCCGUCCUGGUUGUUUCACAGUGCGUUUUCUCAGGAGUUUAUGCUGUAAUAUUAAAAAGUGUUGUGUGUGUGUGAUGGUCUUCAGUGAUGCACGCGCUCAGUGUCAACAUUGUUGUCGGAGUAGCGUUCAGUGUUCAGCACUAACGAUUAACAGAAAAAUGUGAUGGUUCAGCAUCAGGCUAUCAGGAAAACAGAGUUUCUGGUCCACAAGGCUUGCACACAUCCUCCUGGUGCCGUCACUGUGGAAACAUUUGAUCAGCUGUCUGACAGAGUUGCAGACCUGGUAAACAUAACUGUGUUGGCGUAGCAUAAACUGUGAUUCUUGUUAGGGGUCUGUUAUCUGUGUUUCAUUGCAGGCAGAUUUCAUCAAAGUGGCUCAUCCGGAUGCUACGUUUCAGAAGGGACCUACGUUGAAAUCGAAACUGUUGUGGAAAAAGCCUGAAGUAUAUACUAGAAAUUGGAGCUCUUUUGGCCACACUGGACUGGGCAGGUGAACUUUGAAAAAUCCUUUAGACAUGAUUUAAAAGUUAAACAAGAGAAGACGUAUUUCUGAAACGACUGUGGACUCAAAACUGUGUUUGUAUGAGUUUAAAAAAAGGGAAUCGGUAAGAAUUGUCAAUGAUUUUGAAAGAAGUCUCACAAAGGCUGCA